GGCCUGUGAUGUUCAAAUUGUCCGUACCAUCUGAGAUUAAGCUUUUUCACAAUCGCUCUGAUGCAUACGUUAAUUAUUUAUUCUGAGGCUACCUUACUCUCUUUUCUUUUUGUUUAUGGAAUUUUUUAUGUAACUUGAAAGGCAACAAUUUAGAGUCUCUGAUUCACUUUUUUCAUAGUGAUUUCAGUGCUGUACGUUGCCGAUAGUAAUUUGGACCUGAGAUUCUGUCAUUAUUCUACUUAGAUUAAUGCAUUCUUAUGUUCCUAUAUUUUAUCUUAUAUUAUAAAUGUUGUUGAAUCCUUCUUUUCAUGGGCUGUGAUGAGGCAUAGAGAUAGUCAUGCACCACUCUGAUUUUUAGUGCUGAAAAUUUUCUCAUACCCAUUUUUCUGAGCCC
Non-coding RNA from Lupinus albus (white lupine), 394 nucleotides. The record is from the annotation of a GenBank genome assembly. NCBI's taxonomy places the organism in Eukaryota, Viridiplantae, Streptophyta, Magnoliopsida, Fabales, Fabaceae.